RNAcentral lists this long non-coding RNA (252 nucleotides) under Ananas comosus (pineapple). RNAcentral describes it as "long non-coding RNA (ACOM_LNC021252)". The record is from RNAcentral. Lineage: Eukaryota; Viridiplantae; Streptophyta; Magnoliopsida; Poales; Bromeliaceae.
ACUCUCCUACUUGUCCACCAACCUCUCUAAACCCUUUAGAGAAUGUAGGAUAAUUCCACUUAUCAUUCCCACUCAUCAGACUUCAUAAUCAAUCAAAUUCAAAAUAUCACAUUUAAACUUCACACUUUUCCACGUCUACAGAGCAAUGCACCUUUAAUCUUCCGGCUGUUUGUUCACUCUUAUAACGAGUCAAGGACCUCACUUCCACUCUUAAAAAGAUGUCGGUUGGCUCCAGCUACCAACCCCACAUUC